This 81-nucleotide transfer RNA is filed under the name Gagea villosa. RNAcentral describes it as "tRNA-Phe". The record is from RNAcentral. Lineage: Eukaryota; Viridiplantae; Streptophyta; Magnoliopsida; Liliales; Liliaceae.
UUUUUAUGAACUUUUACUUUUAAUUAAUUCACUUAAUUUAAUUCACUUAAUAUAGAUAAAGUGCUCUACUAAGAUAAUGUG